RNAcentral lists this ribosomal RNA (468 nucleotides) under uncultured bacterium. RNAcentral describes it as "partial 16S ribosomal RNA". It matches the Rfam family "Bacterial small subunit ribosomal RNA", at positions 28 to 507 of the family's 1533-position model. The record is from RNAcentral.
GACGAACGCUGGCGGCGUGCUUAACACAUGCAAGUCGAACGGAAAGGCCCUGCUUUUGUGGGGUGCUCGAGUGGCGAACGGGUGAGUAACACGUGAGUAACCUGCCCUUGACUUUGGGAUAACUUCAGGAAACUGGGGCUAAUACCGGAUAGGAGCUCCUGCUGCAUGGUGGGGGUUGGAAAGUUUCGGCGGUUGGGGAUGGACUCGCGGCUUAUCAGCUUGUUGGUGGGGUAGUGGCUUACCAAGGCUUUGACGGGUAGCCGGCCUGGGAGGGUGACCGGCCACAUUGGGACUGAGAUACGGCCCAGACUCCUACGGGAGGCAGCAGUGGGGAAUAUUACACGAUGGGCGGAAGCCUGACGCAGCAGCGCCGCGUGCGGGAUGACGGCCUUCGGGUUGUAAACCGCUUUCGCCUGUGACGAAGCGUGAGUGACGGUAAUGGGUAAAGAAGCACCGGCUAACUACGUG